CGACGCUUGCGACCGGAGUCAGGGCCCCCGUCGACGCCGGCACCUGCCCCAGACAAGUAACGCUUCAGAUACUCGGCCUUGGAGAGCGGCGGAGCUGCCGCCAUGGCAGCGGUGAGGGCGGGGAGACGGCUCGGCGCUGGGGACAAAAUUCUUGAACGCGAAACGCACGGCGGGGACCCGGAGAGGCGGGGCCCCGGAGAGGCGGGGCCGGGACCGGAAGUGGCAAAGAGCGGUGGGAACUGCCCCGGGCCGACAGGAGCGCGCUUUUGCAGGCUCACGAGGAGUGCGCAUGAGAAAACCAAAGCUUGGAGAGGUUAAGGAAGUCGCCCAACUUCACACAGCCAAAACGGGACCCUUGGAGGCAGAAGCUAGCAAAGUGAAGUUCAAGAGCUCUCAGAACACCAGCAGCCAAGUCCUCCUCCUCACGCCAGGAAACAGAACACCCGCUGAUGGGAAUCUGAGCAGCCCAAGAGGAAAAACCU
Neomonachus schauinslandi (Hawaiian monk seal) is the source of this 482-nucleotide long non-coding RNA. RefSeq lists it as uncharacterized. The record is from RefSeq and is a predicted model, not a curated record. The transcript is spliced from 3 exons. NCBI's taxonomy places the organism in Eukaryota, Metazoa, Chordata, Mammalia, Carnivora, Phocidae.